CAACAAUAUCCUCCGGCCUGAAGGAUGGCCAACAAAAGGCAUUGAUAUCUUGGAGGGCACAUCUCACUUCGCCCGGGGCGUUCCUCAAUUUUUCGGCCCUCAAAGACGAAAAUGAGCUCAGGCUGUGGAGACGAUGCUCCCAACCAUUAACCCCUUUCCAUCGUAGUCCAUCGUAGUUGGCACUUGAGCGGAUAAAGGACUUUCCAAUGAUACUUUGAAAUCAAACACGACGAUGGGCGAUGUUCGGGGCGAUAAGGCGAGGAUAAGAACGAAAACCAAAAGCCAGGAGUAAAUCAGUAAAUGAGCAGCAACGGCGACCCAUUUGACACACGGCUGGAAAUUAAAAAGCCGUCGAGAGGAUGUCUCUUUUGAAGUUCCCAGGCGUAAUUGUCACGGCCCGUUGCCAUGGACAACGCAGACAGUUCCGGAGACGACCAACCCGUAGUUGGAGAUGCCACGCGGAUGAGGUUUAAUGAGCAAACUAGAACACCUCGUUGGCGACUUUAUUAAUCAAGUAAGUACACUUACUUGCAGCGACUUGUUUGCUUCGUUUGAUUAAAGUAAAGUAAAUUAUUGUUUUUGAUAUAAUCAAAUAUUACUUCUUGGUUGCAUAAGUUGACCAAUUAAUGUAAUUCGUUCGGUCUUGCAUAGAUUUUAAAGAAGUGCUUAAAGAACUAGAACUAGUGGUUAGAAGAACUUAAUGUCCUCACUUUGAUGCUUUAAAUACCUUAGACACAUCUGCAUAUCAGCUCCAUUACUCCAUUACUCCUCGCCAGGAUAUCGGAUGUUGGAGGCGAGUGCGUGUGCUCGGGUUAAAGCUAAAUGGCCCGUGGAACACGGCAGACGAUGGAUGGGUGGUUGGAUGGAUAGCUGGAUGGCUGGAUGGAUGGGUUGCGUUGGGUUCUUGGCUCUCGGUUCGAAUGGGCUUGCUUCCUCUAAUGCAAUUGAUGUUCGGCGGAAAAAUGGGGGAGUGACUGAGGCAUUGAGGCGGCAACCUAAUAAAAGGAACGAAAACAACUUGUUUUCCAAUUUUACAAUUUAACAAGUUGCCAUUAGACGACGUCGCCCGGCGCAAGUCGUUAGUCCUUGCUCCUUGGUCCUCCGCCAUUCGCAAUCCUUUUGCCUGAGCCGCCAAAACCAAACCAUCAGCAACAACAACAACAACAACAGCAACGAAGGCCAAAGAAUUCCAAAGAAAAUCGACUGCUAUUGGAUUCCAGGCUCCCAGGCUCAAAGGCUUACCGGAACAGAGAAAUAAAAUAAAAUCAAACCAAAAGGCGGCAGAAACAGAACCAGAACGACGAAUAAAGAACCCAAAAAUACAAAAAAAAAAAGAGAAAAAAAAAAAUUAAAUAAAAGAACACCAGAGCCCAAAAUUUUUCUCGGGCAGAGCGUACAAAUUUUUCGAAUUGUUCGCUGGAGACUAAUAAAAUCAACGACGUGGAACUUCAAGCCGUUCCCAUGGACCGGCCCAGAAAAAAUGGGGAGUAGGGCAAAAGCCAGAGACAAUGAGUCGUCGUUCGGCGGCACCGGCGACGUCUCACAUGCAGCUCCCACAACCGGAACAAGUCGCCAGGAUAUGGUUGACUUUACCAACGCAGAUAUACCC
This is a non-coding RNA of Drosophila melanogaster (fruit fly), 1609 nucleotides long. NCBI's taxonomy places the organism in Eukaryota, Metazoa, Arthropoda, Insecta, Diptera, Drosophilidae. The record is from Ensembl.